GACGAACGCUGGCGGCGUGCCUAAUACAUGCAAGUAGAACGCUGAAGGAGGAGCUUGCUCUUCUGGAUGAGUUGCGAACGGGUGAGUAACGCGUAGGUAACCUGCCUGGUAGCGGGGGAUAACUAUUGGAAACGAUAGCUAAUACCGCAUAAGAGUAGAUGUUGCAUGACAUUUGCUUAAAAGGUGCAAUUGCAUCACUACCAGAUGGACCUGCGUUGUAUUAGCUAGUUGGUGGGGUAACGGCUCACCAAGGCGACGAUACAUAGCCGACCUGAGAGGGUGAUCGGCCACACUGGGACUGAGACACGGCCCAGACUCCUACGGGAGGCAGCAGUAGGGAAUCUUCGGCAAUAGACGGAAGUCUGACCGAGCAACGCAGCGUGAGUGAAGAAGGUUUUCGGAUCGUAAAGCUCUGUUGUAAGAGAAGAACGAGUGUGAGAGUGGAAAGUUCACACUGUGACGGUAUCUUACCAGAAAGGGACGGCUAACUACGUG
Molecule: ribosomal RNA, 495 nt
Filed under: uncultured bacterium
Lineage: Bacteria
Description: partial 16S ribosomal RNA
Rfam family: Bacterial small subunit ribosomal RNA
Source: RNAcentral